GCCUCGGCGGUGUAGUGGUAGAGCACGCGUCCCCGGAUAGGAUGAAACGAGGGUUUGAUUCCCGCUUGAAGCU
Parelaphostrongylus tenuis is the source of this 73-nucleotide non-coding RNA. NCBI's taxonomy places the organism in Eukaryota, Metazoa, Nematoda, Chromadorea, Rhabditida, Metastrongylidae. The record is from the annotation of a GenBank genome assembly.